This 495-nucleotide ribosomal RNA is filed under the name uncultured bacterium. RNAcentral's name for it is "bacterial SSU rRNA". It matches the Rfam family "Bacterial small subunit ribosomal RNA", at positions 903 to 1397 of the family's 1533-position model. The record is from RNAcentral.
AAAUGAAUAGACGGGGACCCGCACAAGCAGCGGAGCAUGUGGUUUAAUUCGAAGCAACGCGAAGAACCUUACCAGGUCUUGACAUCCCUCUGAAUAAUGCUUAGCCGCAUUAGUCCUUCGGGACAGAGGAGACAGGUGGUGCAUGGUUGUCGUCAGCUCGUGUCGUGAGAUGUUGGGUUAAGUCCCGCAACGAGCGCAACCCUUGUGUUUAGUUGCAAACAGGUUAAGCUGUGCACUCUAAACAGACUGCCGUGGAUAACACGGAGGAAGGUGGGGAUGACGUCAAAUCAUCAUGCCCCUUAUGAUCUGGGCUACACACGUGCUACAAUGGUCGGUACAACGGGCAGCGAAAGAGCAAUCUGGAGCGAAUCCUAAAAAGCCGAUCCCAGUUCGGAUUGUGGGCUGAAACUCGCCCACAUGAAGUUGGAGUUGCUAGUAAUCGCGAAUCAGAAUGUCGCGGUGAAUGCGUUCCCGGGUCUUGUACACACCGCCCGU